UACGAGGGGGGCAAGCGUUGUUCGGAAUUAUUGGGCGUAAAGGGCGCGUAGGCGGUGCGGUAAGUCACCUGUGAAAACUCUGGGCUCAACUCAGAGCCUGCAGGCGAAACUGCCGUGCUUGAGUGUGGGAGAGGUGCGUGGAAUUCCCGGUGUAGCGGUGAAAUGCGUAGAUAUCGGGAGGAACAUCCGUGGCGAAGGCGACUACCUGGACCAGCACUGACACUGAGGCACGAAAGCGUGGGGAGCAAACAGG
Molecule: ribosomal RNA, 253 nt
Filed under: uncultured bacterium
Lineage: Bacteria
Description: partial 16S ribosomal RNA
Rfam family: Bacterial small subunit ribosomal RNA
Source: RNAcentral